UAAUCCUCAGCUCCCUCCUGUGGUCAAUAGGUGUAUCCGCAUUAAUGAAAUAAACACGCACAGGGUGGACGCACAGUCAGUCGAGUGAACACUGAAGACAGAUUAAGGGGAUUUCUAUGAUAUUCCAGGAUAUUUUACAACAGAUUUGACUUUGUGAUUGUCUCGGCCAGCAGAAGAUCGAGAUCAGCUUUAACCUGAUGGAGUAAAACAGGUGAACUGGAAAGCUCAUGUAAACACUGGCAGCGAUGAAUGGACAAUCCUCCGAGACUCUGGAUCUCGACUCAAGAGUUUUUACUGAACGCCUCUUCCUCUGCUUCAGUAAUGAAGAUGUAAAGCUCUGAGUCUCUGGAUGGUUCAGGAUGGAUGAGUCUCUGGCUUCUACAGACCUGUGAUGACCAUUCAUUUCCAGCACAGGUUAAACCACAGUCAAACUUCAUGAGGACUGAUCAUUCAUCAUGCAUUUACGGAUGUGUCGGUUAAACGGUUUUGGUGUUGUCGUGGCAACAGGCGACCGUCAUGAAGCUGAGACGCAUACGCCGCCUAGUGGACCUGAUGGAGAACUGCGUUUGCUGGCAAUACUCCAUUACUUUGUGCUCUGGGCAAAAUAAUUUGACGAGACAUAAGUGUGAGAAUUGGAGAUUCAUAUUCAUAAAUUGGCAUCUAAUCAAACUAAUCUCUGAUUUAUUUAUUCAGGAGCAGAAUCAUGUUGAGUGAACGCAUCAAAACUGGACAAAAUAUCUUCUAGUACUCUUUUAAUGUGUCUUCGUGUCAAGUUUGUUUCACUUUUGUCUUUGAUGAUGUUAAUCACUUGGUUGACUAAUUUAAGUUGCUGAAUCACUGUUGGCAGAUUUAAGCAGCAUUUGUAGUAAACUUUGACUGAUUACUGAAUGCAUACGACAUGUUUCGACAAAUAAAGUCUGUGUUAUAUAAUGAAUAUUAAUCAUUUGUUUGCGUUUAUAACAUAAGCUUUAUUUAUUACAGAAAGAUGCAUUAGGGUCAGAUCAGUGUUUCAGCUCCAUCUUGUGGACAAUAAGUGGAUCUGCAUUAAUACUUGAAACUGAAUUACUAAGACAUUUUUUCCAUUAGGAGAAAUCCUGAUCCUGAAGAUCCACUUUCCAGAGUGAAGCUCCAACCUGAUGAAAACACCUGAGGCUUUUAAUUAAGGACUUUCAGCAAACGAGAAGCUUCAAGGCAAAUGUGUGACAAACUCUGUAAUUCAGAUGAUGAUAAUAAAAGAUUGAUUUGACUAAACUGAUGAUGCUUUUACAAAUCGUGUAUGUGUUUCACUGUGAGUUUGAGUUAAUAAAAAGUGAUUUAAAAGUA
This is a non-coding RNA of Danio rerio (zebrafish), 1323 nucleotides long. The record is from RefSeq and is a predicted model, not a curated record. Lineage: Eukaryota; Metazoa; Chordata; Actinopteri; Cypriniformes; Danionidae.